This is a long non-coding RNA of Aricia agestis (brown argus), 190 nucleotides long. RefSeq lists it as uncharacterized. NCBI's taxonomy places the organism in Eukaryota, Metazoa, Arthropoda, Insecta, Lepidoptera, Lycaenidae. The record is from RefSeq and is a predicted model, not a curated record. The transcript is spliced from 3 exons.
AAAUAAGUUGAAAGUGAUUUCGUUAUCGCAUUCUAAACACAAACAUCGGGGCAUCGGACGCCAAGCCAAGUUAUCUGAGACCCUUACGUAGUCGGCACUCGGCUCGGGCGGUUGUCGAACGACGAUAUCGAAACGUGUUUAGCGUCAAGGAGAAAUAAAAACCUCCGACCGAGGAAGUGUUCAGUGGCCC